AGUAAAGUCAGCUAAAUAAGCUCUCGGGCCCAUACCCCGAAAAUGCAGUUGAGACCCCUGCCAUUACUA
Molecule: transfer RNA, 69 nt
Filed under: Electrophorus electricus (electric eel)
Lineage: Eukaryota; Metazoa; Chordata; Actinopteri; Gymnotiformes; Gymnotidae
Also listed under: 1 other name
Description: tRNA-Met
Source: RNAcentral